Lytechinus variegatus (green sea urchin) is the source of this 2556-nucleotide long non-coding RNA. RefSeq lists it as uncharacterized. NCBI's taxonomy places the organism in Eukaryota, Metazoa, Echinodermata, Echinoidea, Temnopleuroida, Toxopneustidae. The record is from RefSeq and is a predicted model, not a curated record. The transcript has 2 exons.
UAGCGCCCUUUGGCAAGAUAUCAUUCCACACUUUGCCACUCUCCACCCAGGUGUUAAAUGGAUACCAUGUAGGAUUCAAAAGCCUAUGUAGCAUUCCUGGCAGUGGAGUCUUGGAAGUCAUUGGAAUGCUCCCCAGGAAAUGGAGAAAGUGCAUGUUGCGUACGGGCAUGUCAGGAUCCGAUGACCGGGGUAGUAAUAUAUCUGUAAAGCGCUUAGAGACACUGUUCCAAUGUAUUAAGUGCUAUAUAAAAACUGUUUAUCAUUUAGAAAAGCAAGAUCUAACAUGUACAAAGUAGCAGUGGUAGCAGCAACAUCACUACCAAUGGCGACGCCAACAUCAGCAACACUGUUCUGCCUAUCACAAAUGGAGAGAAGCGCUGUGGAUCUGUGGUACUGUACAUGCUCAUUAUGAAGAAGUCUAGUGUGCCUUUUUUAACUCGCGGGUGGUGGAGAGAAGCGAUGUUACAUCACAGAGCUGCCAAGUAGUACAGAUUUUCAGUAUUUAGUACUGAAAAAUGAGAAGAAUGCUGAUGGUUUCAUGCAAAAUACUGAUUUCUCAUGUUUCAGUUUCAUGUGUUGUCCUAUGGUAUUUCUUUGAAAAUACUGAUUUCCUCGACAAAAUACUUAUUUUCAGCUUUAAAAAUACUGAAAUGUUCUUGUUCAGGUUGGCAGCUCUGGAUGUAGAUCAAAUGCCUGUGUGUUACCCGAGAAUAUGAAUUUGCAUCGUGUAAAUUCAUAUUGAUUCUAGCAGUACUGAACAAAUGUUUUUUUCCAUGCAAUACCUCUAUUUCAUUACUGUUGCAAGUGGAAGAACAGCAGACUGUCAUGUUACACAUUUAUUUAUAGUAUUACUCUGUUGCCUGUGUUUCCGAAGUCCAGAUUAAUUUUAGGCCAUGGUCUAAUACUGAACUUAUCGGAAACUGAAAAUGUAAAAAUUUAGUUUAAAUUGUGUAUUAUGUAUACGCAGCUCAUUUCUCAUGCUCUAAUGAUGAAGAAAACUAAGAUAGGUUUUAUUCCCAGGUAGUUAUGAGUGAUGUUGAAUGUUGCUGAACGAUCUGGUACGGUGAACUUCCCCUUUAAAGAUUUGUGUCACUAUUGGCUAUACUUCGACCACAACUUAAGACCAGUGUUUUCCCUUAAACCAGAGUUCAGAGUAUGGGCCGAUGAACAAGUUAUUCAACUCUAUCUUUAUGCAGGGAAUACAGAAUGAGAACAUUCAUUUACAUAUACAUCCGUCCUGCUGAAUAUUGUCAGCAUCUAUGCAAGUACAGUGCCUUUUCUACACAUUGAGGAUGUGACAUGUUUAAAUUAGAUAUCAGGCUGUUUUGACUGUAUGCAAACUUUUGCCACUUAGAUAUGCAAUGUAAUGUGUAAGAAAUUGUAGCGGAUACUGGUGAAAUACAGUAUGGUGAUUUCAAGCCCAUUGUUGGAAAACUAUGUGGCGUAUUAUCACCCCCUUAUAGUAAUUGUACAACACCCUACUAAGCUUGUAUGGAAGCAAAUGAGAGGCUGAAAGUGCAAAAUUCUUACCUUCACCCAUGUACCGUUAUGUUUUUAGGUGGUAUCAUAGUGCGAUUCAAUUCGUUGCGCUAGGUAAGUAAAUGCAAAUGCCAAUAUGUCUAGGCCUUCUGGCUAAAUGUCCAAUGCAGAUAUUAUAUACAUCAUAUGCAUAUAGCUUUACAAUCACCUUCAUGCAACAGCGUACUUUAGUUCAGUAUACAAGGUAAGAGAUUAAAACUUUUUAAAAGAUGUCAUCAAGUGUGAAUCAUGUCACUAUUACAAACAAUAUUGAAUCGUGUCGCCAUUACCAGACAGUACAAGGGGAAGACCGAACACUUUUGCAAUUUUUUUUUUCAAACUCUUGAUUUCACUCGCAGGAAAGGGCGCCCAACAGCGUUGAGUAACCUUCGCACAUCGGCACGCAGCUCUGUGUAAAACAUAUGGAGAAAAUGAGAGAGGGGAUUUGGGAGAGGGCACAAGGGUGGCACAUGUGGAUGAUUCUAGAUUUCUUUCCCAGAAACCUCUAAGAUAUAUUCAUCUCUGAUUUUAGAAAGAAAAAAAAUUUGAAAAAAAAAUUGCUGUGCCUUCAUUUCUCUUAUGUUUUGUACACAACCCAAAAUGCCGAUACACGACUGUCUAAUUACUCAAUGCUGUGGGGCGCUCUUCCCGAGCGUUUCGAUUCAUGCUUUAUUGAGUGUCCAGCCUUCCCCUUGUAGUGUCUCUAUAACAAACAAUAUCUUCUCCAUGUUAAUAGUAAUAUGUAUUCUAUUUUUCUUGUAUUUUGAAGAUAUAAUCAGUUUGCUGUGAGUGCAUAAUAUUAAUCUAUAUACCAAGAGUGCUAUUAUAUUUAUGCAGAAACAUUCCAUUUUUAUCUUUUUAUAGUAUUCAGAAAUUAUUUAUGAACAAAAUGAAAAUGUGAAUCCUGCCUUUCUAUUACCAAUUGCCAUUCAAAUCAAAUGAAAUAUUGUGAUUUGUGCUGCCAUUUUGCGAAUAAUGUAUGUUAUAAUUCAAAGCAUGAUGAUCAAAAUAAAUAAAUGUAACUUUUAUCUUUCCAUU